GUUUGAUCAUGGCUCAGAUUGAACGCUGGCGGCAGGCCUAACACAUGCAAGUCGAGCGGUAACAUGUCUAGCUUGCUAGAUGAUGACGAGCGGCGGACGGGUGAGUAAUGCUUGGGGAUCUGCCUUAGAGUGGAGGAUAACCAUUGGAAACGAUGGCUAAUACUGCAUAGUAUCUGCGGAUUAAAGGGGGCUUAGGCUCUUGCUUUAAGAUGAACCCAAGUGGGAUUAGCUAGUUGGUGAGGUAAUGGCUCACCAGGGCGACGAUCCCUAGCUGGUCUGAGAGGAUGAUCAGCCACACUGGAACUGAGACACGGUCCAGACUCCUACGGGAGGCAGCAGUGGGGAAUAUUGCACAAUGGGCGAAAGCCUGAUGCAGCCAUGCCGCGUGUGUGAAGAAGGCCCUAGGGUUGUAAAGCACUUUCAGUCAGGAGGAAAGGUUAGUAGUUAAUACCUGCUAGCUGUGACGUUACUGACAGAAGAAGCACCGGCUAACUUUGUGCCAGCAGCCGCGGUAAUACGAGGGGUGCAAGCGUUAAUCGGAAUUACUGGGCGUAAAGCGAGCAUAGGCGGCUGAAUAAGCUGGAUGUGAAAAACCGGGGCUCAACCUCGGCCGUGCAUUCAGAACUGUUUAGCUAGAGUCCUGUAGAGGGGGGUAGAAUUUCA
This 663-nucleotide ribosomal RNA is filed under the name uncultured Vibrionaceae bacterium. RNAcentral's name for it is "bacterial SSU rRNA". It matches the Rfam family "Bacterial small subunit ribosomal RNA", at positions 11 to 671 of the family's 1533-position model. Lineage: Bacteria; Pseudomonadati; Pseudomonadota; Gammaproteobacteria; Vibrionales; Vibrionaceae. The record is from RNAcentral.